This 253-nucleotide ribosomal RNA is filed under the name uncultured bacterium. RNAcentral describes it as "partial 16S ribosomal RNA". It matches the Rfam family "Bacterial small subunit ribosomal RNA", at positions 524 to 776 of the family's 1533-position model. The record is from RNAcentral.
UACGGAGGGUCCGAGCGUUGUCCGGAAUUAUUGGGCGUAAAGAGCUCGUAGGCGGUUUGUCGCGUCGGUGGUGAAAACUCACAGCUCAACUGUGGGCGUGCGGGCGAUACGGGCAGACUGGAGUACUGCAGGGGAGACUGGAAUUCCUGGUGUAGCGGUGGAAUGCGCAGAUAUCAGGAGGAACACCAGUGGCGAAGGCGGGUCUCUGGACAGUUCCUGACGCUGAGGCACGAAGGCCAGGGGAGCAAACGGG